This 637-nucleotide ribosomal RNA is filed under the name uncultured bacterium. RNAcentral describes it as "bacterial SSU rRNA". It matches the Rfam family "Bacterial small subunit ribosomal RNA", at positions 607 to 1244 of the family's 1533-position model. The record is from RNAcentral.
GCUUAACCGGAGAAGUGCAUCGGAAACUGGAUAACUUGAGUGCAGAAGAGGGUAGUGGAACUCCAUGUGUAGCGGUGGAAUGCGUAGAUAUAUGGAAGAACACCAGUGGCGAAGGCGGCUACCUGGUCUGCAACUGACGCUGAGACUCGAAAGCAUGGGUAGCGAACAGGAUUAGAUACCCUGGUAGUCCAUGCCGUAAACGAUGAGUGCUAGGUGUUGGAGGGUUUCCGCCCUUCAGUGCCGGAGCUAACGCAUUAAGCACUCCGCCUGGGGAGUACGACCGCAAGGUUGAAACUCGAAGGAAUUGACGGGGGCCCGCACAAGCGGUGGAGCAUGUGGUUUAAUUCGAAGCUACGCGAAGAACCUUACCAGGUCUUGACAUCUUGCGCCAACCCUAGAGAUAGGGCGUUUCCUUCGGGAACGCAAUGACAGGUGGUGCAUGGUCGUCGUCAGCUCGUGUCGUGAGAUGUUGGGUUAAGUCCCGCAACGAGCGCAACCCUUGUUACUAGUUGCCAGCAUUAAGUUGGGCACUCUAGUGAGACUGCCGGUGUCAAACCGGAGGAAGGUGGGGACGACGUCAGAUCAUCAUGCCCCUUAUGACCUGGGCUACACACGUGCUACAAUGGACGGUACAACG